UAAUUUGAGAGUUUGAUCCUGGCUCAGGACGAACGCUGGCGGCGUGCCUAACACAUGCAAGUCGAGCGGUUUCAUGUUUAACACUGAAUAUUCUAACUAUGCUGGUUAUAGCCAGCGUCUUGUGAG
Molecule: non-coding RNA, 126 nt
Filed under: Ruminiclostridium hungatei
Lineage: Bacteria; Bacillati; Bacillota; Clostridia; Eubacteriales; Oscillospiraceae
Description: Clostridium hungatei Bacterial small subunit ribosomal RNA
Rfam family: Bacterial small subunit ribosomal RNA
Source: Rfam by way of RNAcentral